GAUGAUCGUGCUAUGGAAUGAUUCCAGAUAAGUUUUAUUAUUUAUUAUUUCGAUGUUAAAUUUAAUGCAAUUCAUUUCUUUCAGGUAAUUUGCCAACGAUAACUCAGUCAUUAUAUGUAGAUUUGGAAAUUUGUACAUUUCCAUCAUUACAAGCCGACCACUGUCACAUGGAACUAUUUUUGAAGGAUUUGUACGACGAUGUGAUUUGCCUACUUUCUCAACAGUCUUCUCUCCACUUAAAAAUUCAGCUCAGUUUUCAUCCCAGCCUUCUUUGGCAUCAACAAAGUUGAUUAAUGGUUACUCUCAUUAUCAAUCAAUCGACAUCGAUUUCGUGAUAAGAAAUGUCUCCCUUGUCUAGUUUACCUACUCGUCAAUAAUCCUUUAGCAAGUGAAUUUAAUUGGGUUACACAAUUUUACGACUUUCAAGUGAAAUUGUUAUUUCUCAACAAGAAAUGGAUAUGUGGCUCACCGAAUUUUUUAUAGAAAAUGUGUCUCUUGCUGAAAAACGUGACACAGUGUCAGUCUCUGAAACUGAGGACAGUGUAAUUACAGUUUAACGCAUAAAUGACGUGGCAAUAAAUGCACUUAACACAUGCAUAAAUUCCUUACGUUUUACAAAAGUUGUAAUACUAAAAGCAUCUUAAUUAAAUUAAAAAGUAAGCUGAAAUAACAAGUUAUUAUU
Teleopsis dalmanni is the source of this 682-nucleotide long non-coding RNA. RefSeq lists it as uncharacterized. The transcript has 3 exons. NCBI's taxonomy places the organism in Eukaryota, Metazoa, Arthropoda, Insecta, Diptera, Diopsidae. The record is from RefSeq and is a predicted model, not a curated record.